Molecule: ribosomal RNA, 499 nt
Filed under: uncultured Glomeromycotina
Lineage: Eukaryota; Fungi; Glomeromycota
Description: partial small subunit ribosomal RNA
Rfam family: Eukaryotic small subunit ribosomal RNA
Source: RNAcentral
CCAAUAGCGUAUAUUAAAGUUGCUGCAGUUAAAAAGCUCGUAGUUGAAUUUCGGGACUAAUAUGUUGGUCGUGCCUCGGUACGUACUGGCUUGUUGGUUUCUACCUUCUGACGAACCAUGAUGUCAUUAAUUUGGUGUCUUGGGGAAUCAGGACUGUUACUUUGAAAAAAUUAGAGUGUUUAAAGCAGGCUCACGCUUGAAUACAUUAGCAUGGAAUAAUGAAAUAGGACGUUUGAUUCUAUUUUGUUGGUUUCUAGGAUCGACGUAAUGGUUAAUAGGGAUAGUUGGGGGGCAUUAGUAUUCAAUUGUCAGAGGUGAAAUUCUUGGAUUUAUUGAAGACUAACUACUGCGAAAGCAUUUGCCAAGGAUGUUUUCAUUAAUCAAGAACGAAAGUUAGGGGAUCGAAGACGAUCAGAUACCGUCGUAGUCUUAACCAUAAACUAUGCCGACUAGGGAUCGGAUGAUGUUAAUUUUUUAAUGACUCAUUCGGCGCCUUACG